UACGUAGGGGGCGAGCGUUACCCGGAUUUACUGGGCGUAAAGCGCGUGUAGGCGGCUGGUCAAGCGUGGUGUGAAAUCUCCGGGCUCAACCCGGAAACUGCAUUGCGAACUGACCUAGCUGGAGUGCAGGAGAGGGCAGCGGAAUUCCCGGUGUAGAGGUGAAAUUCGUAGAUAUCGGGAGGAACACCAGUGGCGAAGGCGGCGAUCUGGGCUGAUACUGACGCUGAGGUGCGAAAGCGUGGGGAGCAAACAGG
This 254-nucleotide ribosomal RNA is filed under the name uncultured bacterium. RNAcentral's name for it is "partial 16S ribosomal RNA". It matches the Rfam family "Bacterial small subunit ribosomal RNA", at positions 524 to 776 of the family's 1533-position model. The record is from RNAcentral.